CUACUUAGCAAGUGCCAGAGUCACUCUUUCCAUCCCACGUCUCGGGAAGCAGGACCAGGACAGCAGGGUGACCUUCGCAGGAGCUCGGCUGAGCCCAGGGACUGGGUGCUGCUGGCACCCAGGAGAGCCACAAGAAAGCAGCAUGAUCCCCACACUGCCAUGGAACAGAAACCUGCUCUCAGCUGGCAUUGCCUUUGAAAUGAAGUGCUGGAAUCUGCCCCAACAUGUGGAGGAAGAGAUUUCUGUGUGGGUUGUGAGUGAGACCUGGGAAGAGGCCUCAGGCUCAACACUUGAAGACCUCAAUUAAUCUCUGAGACUAGGAGGUGUCCAACUAGAGGAGACAGGAGGCCCAAGAACAUGGGUAGGUGAUUUGGUCCCCUGUGUCUUAUUGAAAGGGAGACAAAUGGCCA
This is a long non-coding RNA of Passer montanus (Eurasian tree sparrow), 410 nucleotides long. RefSeq lists it as uncharacterized. The transcript is spliced from 3 exons. NCBI's taxonomy places the organism in Eukaryota, Metazoa, Chordata, Aves, Passeriformes, Passeridae. The record is from RefSeq and is a predicted model, not a curated record.